AUUACUUUAACAUAUUAAUGUAUUGAAUUUAGAAUUUAAUUAUAUAUAAAAUUUAUUUAUAUAAGUAAUU
Molecule: transfer RNA, 70 nt
Filed under: Diolcogaster sp. SNS-2016
Lineage: Eukaryota; Metazoa; Arthropoda; Insecta; Hymenoptera; Braconidae
Description: tRNA-Leu
Source: RNAcentral